GAUGAACGCUGGCGGCGUGCCUAAUACAUGCAAGUCGAGCGAACGGACGAGAAGCUUGCUUCUCUGAUGUUAGCGGCGGACGGGUGAGUAACACGUGGAUAACCUACCUAUAAGACUGGGAUAACUUCGGGAAACCGGAGCUAAUACCGGAUAAUAUUUUGAACCGCAUGGUUCAAAAGUGAAAGACGGUCUUGCUGUCACUUAUAGAUGGAUCCGCGCUGCAUUAGCUAGUUGGUAAGGUAACGGCUUACCAAGGCAACGAUGCAUAGCCGACCUGAGAGGGUGAACGGCCACACUGGAACUGAGACACGGUCCAGACUCCUACGGGAGGCAGCAGUCGGGAAUCUUCCGCAAUGGGCGCAAGCCUGACGGAGCAACGCCGCGUGAGUGAUGAAGGUCUUCGGAUCGUAAAACUCUGUUAUUAGGGAAGAACAUAUGUGUAAGUAACUGUGCACAUCUUGACGGUACCUAAUCAGAAAGCCACGGCUAACUACGUG
Molecule: ribosomal RNA, 497 nt
Filed under: uncultured bacterium
Lineage: Bacteria
Description: partial 16S ribosomal RNA
Rfam family: Bacterial small subunit ribosomal RNA
Source: RNAcentral